RNAcentral lists this ribosomal RNA (119 nucleotides) under Ricinus communis (castor bean). Lineage: Eukaryota; Viridiplantae; Streptophyta; Magnoliopsida; Malpighiales; Euphorbiaceae. The record is from RNAcentral.
GGGUGCGAUCAUACCAGCACUAAUGCACCGUAUCCCAUCAGAACUCCGAAGUUAAACGUGCUUGGGCGAGAGUAGUACUAAAAUGGGUGACCUCUUGGGAAGUCCUCGUGUUGCACGCC